Molecule: long non-coding RNA, 494 nt
Organism: Tupaia belangeri chinensis (Chinese tree shrew)
Lineage: Eukaryota; Metazoa; Chordata; Mammalia; Scandentia; Tupaiidae
Exons: 3
Source: RefSeq, a predicted model, not a curated record
UCUGCCCUUGAGAGGAAGAUCUGUCCUUUGGGAGCUGCAGCCUUUACCUUGCCACUCUUGCCUUAUCCAAGUUAGUGAAUGUGGAGAAUGAAUACGCACAUCUCGUCAUCCCAGGUGAUUGUGUGGCUACUGAGAGGUAAGCCGAUGUAUACCAAAGCCUUCCUUCGGCCCCCUCAUCUUUCUGCUCUAAGAGGUCAUGUGCUCCAUAGCUGUGACAGCUACCUUCUGACCAUAAGGGAAAGGAAGAGAGGAUCAGACUACAGUUGUCACAUCGCAGAACCACUGAACAUAUGCUACCAGCUGCUUACCUUUACAACUUUUGUUAUUUAACAAAGGAGAAAAAGGAAACCAAGAAAGGCAGGAAUGAAGUCUAGUACCACAAACAGAAGAAAGGAAAUUCACCUUGAGAUCAAGGAAGGGGACCACCAGCUUGCUGCAAACCGCAAGAGAAAAGAAAAAGAUUUGGUAUGGGAAUAAAUAGUGGCUUGCGUGUC